AUUGAACGCUGGCGGCAGGCUUAACACAUGCAAGUCGAGCGGGGAGAUGUUGCUUGCACUAUCUCUUAGCGGCGGACGGGAUAGUAAUGCUUAGUAACCUGCCUAUUAGUGGGGGACAACAUCUCGAUAGCGAUGCUAAUACCGCAUACCUCCUACGGGAGAAAGCAGGGCAUCUCUUAUGACCUUGCGCUAUUAGAUGAGCCGAAGUCGGAUUAGCUAGUUGGUGGGGUAAAGGCCUACCAAGGCGACGAUCUGUAGCGGGUCUGAGAGGAUGAUCCGUCACAGUGGGACUGAGACACGGCCCAGACUCCUACGGGAGGCAGCAGUGGGGAAUAUUGGACAAUGGGGGGAACCCUGAUCCAGCCAUGCCGCGUGUGUGAAGAAGGACUUAUGGUUGUAAAGCACUUUAAGCGAGGAGGAGGCUCUUUUGGUUAAUACCCAAGAUGAGUGGACGUUACUCGCAGAAUAAGCGCCGGCUAACUACGUGCCAGCCGCCGCCGUAA
This 503-nucleotide ribosomal RNA is filed under the name uncultured bacterium. Its description in RNAcentral is "partial 16S ribosomal RNA". It matches the Rfam family "Bacterial small subunit ribosomal RNA", at positions 30 to 523 of the family's 1533-position model. The record is from RNAcentral.